This 257-nucleotide ribosomal RNA is filed under the name uncultured bacterium. RNAcentral describes it as "partial 16S ribosomal RNA". It matches the Rfam family "Bacterial small subunit ribosomal RNA", at positions 524 to 777 of the family's 1533-position model. The record is from RNAcentral.
UACGUAGGGGGCAAGCGUUGUCCGGAAUCAUUGGGCGUAAAGAGCGUGUAGGCGGUUCGGUAAGUCGGCUGUGAAAGUCCAGGGCUCAACCCUGGGAUGCCGGUCGAUACUGCCGGACUAGAGUUCGGAAGAGGCGAGUGGAAUUCCCGGUGUACGCGGUGAAAUGCGCAGAUAUCGGGAGGAACACCUAUGGCGAAGGCAGCUCGCUGGGACGUUACUGACGACUGGAGACGCGAAAGCGUGGGGAGCAAACACGG